Molecule: ribosomal RNA, 789 nt
Filed under: uncultured bacterium
Lineage: Bacteria
Description: bacterial SSU rRNA
Rfam family: Bacterial small subunit ribosomal RNA
Source: RNAcentral
AGAGUUUGAUCAUGGCUCAGAACGAACGCUGGCGGCGUGGAUUAGGCAUGCAAGUCGAACGAGAAUCUGAGAGUCCAAGUUUUCGGACAAGGACUUUUGGAGGAAAGUGGCGGAAGGGUGAGUACAACAUGGAUAAUCUACCUUCAAGUUGGGUAUAGCUUUCCGAAAGGAGAGAUAAUCCCGGAUGUGGUGAUCCGGCGCAUGCCGGAGACUCCAAAGGUGGGGACCGCAAGGCCUGCCGCUUGAAGAUGAGUCCGUGCACUAUCAGCUAGUUGGUGAGGUAAUGGCUCACCAAGGCUAUGACGGUUAGCUGGUCUGAGAGGAUGGUCAGCCACACUGGGACUGAGAUACUGCCCAGACUCCUACGGGAGGCUGCAGUCGAGAAUCAUUCGCAAUGGGCGAAAGCCUGACGGUGCGACGUCGCGUGGAGGAUGACGGUCUUCGGAUUGUAAACUCCUGUCAUGUGGGAUAAAUAGCCCGGGUGUGAAUAGCACUUGGGACUGAUAGUACCACAGGAGGAAGAGACGGCUAACUCUGUGCCAGCAGCCGCGGUAAUUCAGAGGUCUCGAGCGUUGUUCGGAUUUACUGGGCGUAAAGGGAGCGUAGGCGGCCGGGUGUGUCGAAUGUGAAAGCCCACAACUCAACUGUGGAAUGGCAUUCGAAACUACCUGGCUAGAGUACUGGAGAGGAGAGCGGAAUUCUUGGUGUAGCGGUGAAAUGCGUAGAUAUCAAGAGGAACACCGGUGGCGAAGGCGGCUCUCUGGACAGAUACUGACGCUGAGGCUCUAA